This 254-nucleotide ribosomal RNA is filed under the name uncultured bacterium. RNAcentral describes it as "partial 16S ribosomal RNA". It matches the Rfam family "Bacterial small subunit ribosomal RNA", at positions 524 to 776 of the family's 1533-position model. The record is from RNAcentral.
GACGAACCGUGCGAACGUUGUUCGGAAUCACUGGGCUUAAAGGGCUCGUAGGCGGCCAACUAAGUCAGACGUGAAAUCCCUCGGCUUAACCGGGGAACUGCGUCUGAUACUGGAUGGCUUGAGUUUGGGAGAGGGAUGCGGAAUUCCAGGUGUAGCGGUGAAAUGCGUAGAUAUCUGGAGGAACACCGGUGGCGAAGGCGGCAUCCUGGACCAACACUGACGCUGAGUGAGCGAAAGCCAGGGGAGCAAACGGG